This 253-nucleotide ribosomal RNA is filed under the name uncultured bacterium. RNAcentral describes it as "partial 16S ribosomal RNA". It matches the Rfam family "Bacterial small subunit ribosomal RNA", at positions 524 to 776 of the family's 1533-position model. The record is from RNAcentral.
UACAGAGGGUGCGAGCGUUAAUCGGAUUUAUUGGGCGUAAAGGGUGCGUAGGUGGUAAAGCAAGUAGAAUGUGAAAACCCUGGGCUUAACCUGGGAAGUGCAUCCUAAACUGCUUAACUAGAGUAUGGUAGAGGGUAGUGGAAUUUCCGGUGUAGCGGUGAAAUGCGUAGAGAUCGGAAGGAACGCCAGUGGUGAAGACGACUACCUGGACCAAUACUGACACUGAGGCACGAAAGCGUGGGGAUCAAACAGG